This 852-nucleotide ribosomal RNA is filed under the name uncultured bacterium. RNAcentral describes it as "bacterial SSU rRNA". It matches the Rfam family "Bacterial small subunit ribosomal RNA", at positions 8 to 857 of the family's 1533-position model. The record is from RNAcentral.
AGAGUUUGAUCCUGGCUCAGGAUGAACGCUAGCGGCAGGCUUUAACACAUGCAAGUCGAGGGGCAGCAUGUCCAGCAAUGGAUGAUGGCGACCGGCGGAAGGGUGCGUAACGCGUGAGCAACAUGCCCUAUACAGGGAGAUACACCAGGGAAACUUGGUCUAAUAUCCCAUAGCAUUCAUUGAAGGCAUCUUUAAUGAAUUAAAGCUUCGGUGGUAUAGGAUUGGCUCGCGUGACAUUAGCCAGAUGGUGAGGUAACGGCUCACCAUAGCAAUGAUGUCUAGGGGUUUUGAGAGGAAGGCCCCCCACACUGGGACUGAGACACGGCCCAGACUCCUACGGGAGGCAGCAGUGAGGAAUAUUGGACAAUGGAUGGAAAUCUGAUCCAGCCAUGCCGCGUGCAGGAAGACGGCCUUAUGGGUUGUAAACUGCUUUUAUACGGGAGCAAUAAGGGUUACGAGUAAUCCGAUGAGAGUACUGUAUGAAUAAGGAUCGGCUAACUCCGUGCCAGCAGCCGCGGUAAUACGGAGGAUCCGAGCGUUAUCCGGAAUUAUUGGGUUUAAAGGGUGCGUAGGCGGCCAUUUAAGUCAGCGGUGAAAUUUUGCAGCUUAACUGUAACAGUGCCGUUGAUACUGUUUGGCUAGGAUUUGGUUGUAGUGUGCGGAAUGUGUGGUGUAGCGGUGAAAUGCUUAGAUAUCACACAGAACACCGAUUGCGAAGGCAGCACACUAAGUCAUUAUUGACGCUGAGGCACGAAAGUGUGGGGAUCAAACAGGAUUAGAUACCCUGGUAGUCCACACUGUAAACGAUGAUAACUCGCUGUCGGCGAUACACAGUCGGUGGCCAAGCGAAAG